This 359-nucleotide ribosomal RNA is filed under the name uncultured bacterium. Its description in RNAcentral is "bacterial SSU rRNA". It matches the Rfam family "Bacterial small subunit ribosomal RNA", at positions 29 to 417 of the family's 1533-position model. The record is from RNAcentral.
AGCGAACGCUGGCGGCAGGCCUAAAACAUGCAAGUCGAGCGCCGUAGCAAUACGGAGCGGCAGACGGGUGAGUAACACGUGGGAACGUGCCUUUUGGUUCGGAACAACACAGGGAAACUUGUGCUAAUACCGGAUAAGCCCUUACGGGGAAAGAUUUAUCGCCAAAAGAUCGGCCCGCGUCUGAUUAGCUAGUUGGUGGGUAACGCCCACCAAGGCGACGACGGGUAGCCGGCCUGAGAGGGCGACCGGCCACACUGGGACUGAGACACGGCCCAGACUCCUACGGGAGGCAGCAGUGGGGAAUCUUGCGCAAUGGGCGAAAGCCUGACGCAGCGACGCCGCGUGAGGGAUGACGGCCU